This 543-nucleotide long non-coding RNA is filed under the name Arachis ipaensis. RNAcentral describes it as "long non-coding RNA (AIPA_LNC002049)". Lineage: Eukaryota; Viridiplantae; Streptophyta; Magnoliopsida; Fabales; Fabaceae. The record is from RNAcentral.
GAAAAGUAUCAAUAAUAAUGAGCUGUGUAUUUAUAUAUAAUAUAAUCAUAUAUUACAUCGUAAUAAAAUAUAGACAUGAAUGACACUAUGAGGAUCAUAUCAGAAUCCCUCUUAUUUCCCUCUAUCACCUACAACAAAUUAAUAAUAAUAAUAAAUCAUAGCUAAUCAAGAAUAAUACAUGAAAAUCUCAUCAUAAUAAUAAUAAUAAUAACAACGAACUCUCUCUGUAUACAUAGAUAAUCACUCCGUAAAAAAGAAGUCAAUCAAAUUUAGUUCUUCAACACGGCAAGCAUGGAAACCACCAACGAGGCAACCAUCAUUGCCGCCGAGCCGGAAAUGGAUCCAGCUGCUCCGGCGUCAGGAGACGGCGCCGGAGACGAAGCUGGAGACAAGUCUUGUGCGGAAGCAGAAAGUGCGAACAGAGCAACACAGAGUACGACGGCGAAUGUUCUGAAUGAUGCCAUUGCUGAGUUGAGUUUGAGAAAAUGAAAGAAUGAAAGAAAGCUGAAGACUAGAGAAUGAAUGUGAAAAAGAGNNNNNNNN